GCUGCCUUGUUUUAUCCUUUUUGCAGGCUGCAUUCCUCUAUGCUGCACCUAUUUGCAUCUCAGAUGUAUAAUUUUGGAUCAUUCUAGGAUAUGAAACUCUCCAUAGUUCCAUGGCAACUGUUAUUAGUUAUAUAACAAUUCUGCUUUAUUUUGACAUAUCUUGUACUUGUUGUGUUGAUGCUGACAAAAAAAAAAAGAAAAAAGAAGUAGGAGUUGUAGUAAGCUUCUCUUGGUAACUUUAUGGAUAGUGGUAAUUUCUUCUUCAGUUUUUUUUUUUCACUUACUUGAUGUCAACUUAUAACUACAUGUCCUGAUUUACUUUCUAUUACCUUUAGCCAGGUGCUUUGUGCUUCUUUGAAAAUAUUACUGGUUUGGAGUAGCUAAUAGCCCAAGGAGUUAAAAAUUAAUAUAACAAAGUUUUGAUUUCUUUUAUAGAGACCUGUGUGUGUUCCCAGCUGUAGCUGUUGCUCCUCCUUGUUUGUAUGGAGCAAAUCCUCCUUACAUAUGGACCCAUGGAAUGCAACCCCUGCAGUUCAGUGUGGAGGAGCAGAGGUGGUGCAGGUAUUGGUGAUUCAGGUAUUGGCGAUUCAGGUGUUGGUGAUUCGGGUAUUGGUGAUUCAGGUGUUGAUCAUUCAGGUGUUGGUGAUUCAGGUAUUGAUCAUUCAGGUGUUGGUGAUUCAGGUGUUGGUGAUUCAGGUGUUGGUGAUUCAGGUGUUGAUGAUUCGGGUAUUGAACACCCACCACUGCUCACACCUGUGUGCAGGGGCUGUUUCUGAUUGUGAGUGUCACCUGCAGAACCCUCAGGUUCUCACUCAUAACCAGGCAAGCUGGGAGCUCUGGCUGCCCUGCUUUGGCAGUUGAAAGCAGAAGGGACAGCAGGUGCUGAUUUUGACACAGAUGAUUGCAAUGCUCAGCAUCCUGGAGCUUUCCCUGAAUUUCCAUUUCCCCAUGACAGUGAGAGUGAGAGUGGUGCUCACAGCUGGCAUUAUCUGGUAAAAGGAUCUCUUCCUCAAGCUCACAGUGAGUUGAUGCUCAUGGUGGGAGGGAGAAUGCUAAAGGGAAGUCUAAGACAUUUGCAAGAUUCAUUUACAUAAUUUCCUUAUUUAUUGAAGCAAAUUAUGUAUGUAGCUGUAACUCAAAUAUGUAAUUGUAUAUGAAGUAUGUCAUUUGAUGAGGCAUCUAGGGUGUUGCCAAGGAGUAUGCCACUAGUUAUCCUACCUUUAUGAGCAAUUUGUGCUUCAAAUGCAGAUGGUUUUUUGCACAAUAGCCAUUUGAUUAAUUUGCUUUUGCUUUCAUUAUCUGUAGCUAUUUACAUUGUUAGUACUUUAAGUGUAGUUGGUGUUUUUAUGUUUGCAGUUCCUCAGCCUUACUCCAGGGGCUUUUAUUUUGUAGAGUGCCCUGGCAUUGCCUGAGGAGAAAUUGAAAGUAUGCUCCUUUCCCUCCCCAGUAAGAUUCUCUGUGUCCUCUGGGGCCUACAAUUUGAGCAAACAUUACCAAUAUAUUGAAGUUUUUUCUUAUUUUUUAUUCCAAAUUACAUCAUUAUGCUUUCUGUUAGAUGCAGUAUAAAACAUAAAAGAAUACUUUGCCUUAAAGCAACACAAGGCAGCACAACAGAAAGGAUUUGAUUUAGUCACAGACAAGAAAAAUGAUGGAGUAUGUGCAAGAAUAACAACUCAGUCAGGUGGGCUUAGUCAUAGGCCAUGAUGUGAUUACUUGUAAUAGAUCUUUAGGUUUUAUAUGGCUGACUGCACCAUAAAUUAAUAGUUUUAAUGAUAGACAGAUUAAACAUGAGCUGUGUAGAUCUGUAAUAUGGCAGUCAGAUAACUUGAAACAUUUGCACACUUAAUGUAGGUUGGGGAAGUAAUAAGAAAGCAAUUUUUCCAAUCUUCUCACUCUGUUAAAAAAAGUUUGUAUAGAGAUUUAUCCUAUAUUAAUGUCAAUUUGUAAUUAAGUUGCUUGUUUCCCCAUUCUAGGAAUUCAUAAAAAGCUUCAACCAAGACAAGUGAUCCUUCUGUGCUGUCCUGUCUUCCCCCACUCCCUGCACAGGUGUCAGUCACAUAAAUGUGAUUCCUCUUGUCUUCUGUGACACUGAUGGACACAGAGAUGGCAUGGUGUGACAACAGUGCAACAGGCAGAGAUCCCCACACAUACAGGUUUGCAUAUAAUUCUAUUGAAGAGAGGCUGUUGAAAAAGAGUAUUAAACAUGAUUCAACAACUGGCUGCUCAGGGAGGGGAUUGUUCAACAGACUUUUUAUCCCAGGUACUGUAACAUUAAGAAUGUGAGCAGUUAUUUGAUGAUACAUAAAAAAAUAAGUGUUUUACUAGAUCUGAGACAGAAUUUUGAAAAGGUAGUGGUUUCUUUAUUUCUAGGCUUGAUUGGGAACCAGUGAUGUGUGUUCACAGUUAAAUUGAGUAGAAAUCCUGAACUGUCAGCUCAUAUAGAAAAUCAGAAGGUCUUGGAUCCUAUCAGUGGUGCGGUUAACUCUUGCAACAAUGUUUAUCACUCCCCAAAGCAACACCAAAAUUGUUACAUAAAAACCAUUGCAGGUCCAGAGGGAAAGGAGAGUUUAAGUUGAAACUCGCUUUGCAUUGUGAGGACUUGGGGGGUUUUGGGGUCCUUUUUGUUGAUUUUUUUUUCCCUUUUAAUUCCUUAUUGCUGUUAGAGUACUAUGGGAGUUUUGACUAAGCAAAAACAUAACUA
This is a long non-coding RNA of Melozone crissalis (California towhee), 2701 nucleotides long. RefSeq lists it as uncharacterized. The record is from RefSeq and is a predicted model, not a curated record. The transcript is spliced from 5 exons. Lineage: Eukaryota; Metazoa; Chordata; Aves; Passeriformes; Passerellidae.